GAUGAAGAACGUAGCAAAAUGCGAUAAGUAAUGUGAAUUGCAGAAUUCAGUGAAUCAUCGAAUCUUUGAACGCACAUUGCGCCCGCCAGUAUUCUGGCGGGCAUGCCUGUUCGAGCGUCAUUUCAACCCUCAAGCACAGCUUGGUGUUGGGACUCGCGUUAAUUCGCGUUCCUCAAAUUGAUUGGCGGUCACGUCGAGCUUCCAUAGCGUAGUAGUAAAACCCUCGUUACUGGUAAUCGUCGCGGCCACGCCGUUAAACCCCAACUUCUGAAUGUUGACCUCGGAUCAGGUAGGAAUACCCGCUGAACUUAAGCAUAUCAAAAGGGAGGA
RNAcentral lists this unclassified non-coding RNA (330 nucleotides) under soil metagenome. RNAcentral describes it as "partial contains 5.8S ribosomal RNA, internal transcribed spacer 2, and large subunit ribosomal RNA". The stretch from base 1 to 120 matches the Rfam family "5.8S ribosomal RNA", at positions 35 to 154 of the family's 154-position model. The record is from RNAcentral.